AGCUUUGCUCAGUGGCAGUAUUGUAGCCAGUGAGGUUUAUCCGAAGUACAAUUAUUGUUAAUUGU
Molecule: small nuclear RNA, 65 nt
Filed under: Pteropus alecto (black flying fox)
Lineage: Eukaryota; Metazoa; Chordata; Mammalia; Chiroptera; Pteropodidae
Description: U4 spliceosomal RNA
Rfam family: U4 spliceosomal RNA
About the family: U4 small nuclear RNA (U4 snRNA) is a component of the major U2-dependent spliceosome. The structure of U4 snRNA from yeast and human has been reported.
Source: Rfam by way of RNAcentral